UUGGGGUUAAAUAGUAUUAUUGUGGUUGUAUAUGCGAAAAACAAUAACCUUUAUGUGAGAGUAUAAAAUCAGUGUAGCAAUGUUUCUUUUCAUUGCUUUUCUUAUUCCCACCUUUAAAAUUUAAAACCUUUCACAACAUAUAUUUACCUGAAUGUUACAUACUCAUAAUUAGCUUUUUCUUACAAGGGAACACAAAGAUCAUUAUUUCAAUGUUUUGUUGAGUUUCAAAUGACACAGAGCUCUGAGUUGAAAAUGUUCUCAUUAUGGCUUUUUAUAGCUUAACACAAAAUUUUGAGAUAGAACAAAUGGGUAUUUGUAAGGUAAAAUACAUUCUAAGUAUUUUAAUAAUUAGUAAAUAAAGGUAACAGUAAAAAAAAAAUAGCUUUUAAAAAAGCAUCCCCCUAGAAUCCUUCUAGAAUGGCCAUUAUUUCUAUAUAGCAUUUUCUUUAUAUACCACUUGGUUGUUCAGCAUUAGCAAUAACCUCACUCCUAACCCCAGUGCAUAUAACCCUUCUAUUAUUCUAAGGGCCCAGAGAGUAAAAAGAAUCAUGCCUUUCACUAUUUAAUCACCAAAUUUGAUUUUCUUUACAAAUAGCCUGAGGUUAGGUCUGUAAUAUUAUGUAUCUCUUAAUUCCACUUUGAAGGUAAGCAAACAUUUACCACCUCACUCAGUUGCUAAAUACAAUCCAUAUUAUUUUCUGUAAUUCAGGCAUAAAGCCCUAUUGAUUAUGUGCAAGUGGCCACUUACUAGGUUGCCUUAAGCAAUUGAUUGUUGAAUUCGCUGAAUGAACGUCUCUGGCUUUGAGAGGCAAAAAGCUACAGACUUCAUUACAACCCUCUCCCUGCAUAAAGGGUUUCAAUGGUUCCCAGGUCCAAGGAUGAAGCCCCAAAUGUUUGUGAGGCCAGCAAGACCCUGGAAGACCUGGCUCCUUCCCUCUGCCCCAUUCCAUCACAAGACAUGAUCAUCUUUGUUCUUUCUAAUAACAACCAUCACCAUGACCAUCACCACAAUAAUAUCUAUACAGGGCUUAAGUAUUUUAUACAAUUCAUUUAAUCAUUAUGACCACCCUGUAAGGGAGGGAUUAUUAUCCUCACUUUAUGAAGGAGCUUCACUGAUUUGCUGGAGAUCAUGCAGCUGCUACCUAAGUGUCAUGGCCAGGGGUCAAACACAGGCUCUCGGGUUCCAGGUCUGUGCUCUUGGAUCUAGAUCCUUAAUCAGAAAUAGGAUCCAGUACGAAGUAGGGCCUUAAUGAAUCUUCAUUAAGUGACUGAACAAAUGGGUUUUAUAAUUAGUCAAGAAGUUUAUAUAGUCAAGUUUAUAAUUAGUCAAGAAGUUUACAUAGUCAAUACCCAACUUCUUGACUUUCCAAUAUAUGUACAUGCCUGAUGGGGUGCAAAGAAGGAUUAAAAUGGAUAAUGCAAAGAUAUGGGUUUUGCAAAUUUGAAUGUUCUUCACAAAUAGUUUUUAUGCUUUGCUCAACAAUUAUUUUUGAGCACCUAGAAUGUACCAGGCACCCAGACUAGAAUGAGACACUGCCCUACCUUCAGAGUUUAUGGCUUAGUUUAGGACAAAGACCAAGGAAUGAACCCUUAUUUACAAAAAAAAAAAAAAAAAAAA
Molecule: long non-coding RNA, 1618 nt
Organism: Macaca fascicularis (crab-eating macaque)
Lineage: Eukaryota; Metazoa; Chordata; Mammalia; Primates; Cercopithecidae
Source: Ensembl